Molecule: ribosomal RNA, 411 nt
Filed under: uncultured bacterium
Lineage: Bacteria
Description: bacterial SSU rRNA
Rfam family: Bacterial small subunit ribosomal RNA
Source: RNAcentral
AAUCAACGCUGGCGGCGUGCCUCAGACAUGCAAGUCGAACGCGAAAGUCCCCUUCGGGGACGAAGUAGAGUGGCGCACGGGUGAGUAACACGUAGGUAAUCUACCUUUGGAUGGGGAAGUAACAAUCGGAAACGGUUAGCUAAUACCGCAUAAUGCAGCGGCACCUAAUGGUGACAGUUGUUAAAGCGGGGGAGUCGAAAGACCUCGCGUCUAAAGAGGAGCCUGCGGCGGAUUAGCUAGUUGGUAGGGUAACGGCCUACCAAGGCGACGAUCCGUAACCGGCCUGAGAGGGCGGUCGGUCACACUGACACUGACAUACGGGUCAGACUCCUACGGGAGGCAGCAGUCGGGAAUUUUGGGCAAUGGGCGAAAGCCUGACCCAGCAACGCCGCGUGAAGGAUGAAAUCCCUC